This 205-nucleotide long non-coding RNA is filed under the name Dromaius novaehollandiae (emu). RNAcentral's name for it is "lncRNA (ENSDNVG00000012294.1)". The record is from RNAcentral. Lineage: Eukaryota; Metazoa; Chordata; Aves; Casuariiformes; Dromaiidae.
UCGGCAAGGCAUCAUUGGUGCUGCGGCAGCCUGACGCGCCCCGUGCGCUUGACUCGCUUGAUUUGCAUAUGCAAUGCAGCCAUACUUAAUGAGUGGCCAUUGCUGACCUGCAGGGACCUGGGGAGAGGAUGAGUCUGAAUGGCUCAGUGUGGGCAGAUCAGCGCAGAAGAGGCUACAGUCCUUCCCGUGCAGGGCAUGGAAGCUU